GAAAUCCCUCGGGAUGUAAACUUCGCAAGAACGGGAAGAAUAAGUAGGGGACAAUACCCCCUAUGAUGACGGUACCGUUUGUAAGCUCCGGCUAACUCCGUGCCAGCAGCCGCGGUAAUACGGGGGGAGCAAGCGUUGUUCGGAUUUACUGGGCGUAAAGGGCGCGUAGGCGGCCAGCACAAGUCAGUUGUGAAAUCUCCGAGCUUAACUCGGAAAGGUCAACUGAUACUGUGCGGCUAGAGUGCGGAAGGGGCAACUGGAAUUCUUGGUGUAGCGGUGAAAUGCGUAGAUAUCAAGAGGAACACCUGCGGCGAAGGCGGGUUGCUGGGCCGACACUGACGCUGAGGCGCGAAAGCUAGGGGAGCGAACGGGAUUAGAUACCCCGGUAGUCCUAGCCUUAAACGAUGAAUGCUUGGUGUCUGGGGUUAUAAAGUCCCCGGGUGCCGUCGCUAACGCUUUAAGCAUUCCGCCUGGGGAGUACGGUCGCAAGACUGAAACUCAAAGG
Molecule: ribosomal RNA, 505 nt
Filed under: uncultured bacterium
Lineage: Bacteria
Description: bacterial SSU rRNA
Rfam family: Bacterial small subunit ribosomal RNA
Source: RNAcentral